GUCUGUAUGAAGUUGUAUGGAGUCUAAACUGCCCGUUGAAAAAAUUUUGAAAGGCCGCGGUAUAUUAACUGUGCAAAGGUAGCAUAAUCAUUAGUUUUUUAAUUGAAGGCUUGUAUGAAGGGUUGGACAAAGAAAAAUCUGUCUUCUAUUUUUAUUUUUGAAUUUUACUUUUAAGUGAAAAGGCUUAAUUUAUUUAAAGGGACGAUAAGACCCUAUAAAUCUUUAUAUUAAUUUAUUUUUUUAAUAAUUAGUUUUGUAUAAAUAAUUUAAAAAUAAAAAAUAUUUUGUUGGGGCGAUAAGAAUAUAAAUAUAACUGUUUUAAAAUAUAAACAAAGUUAUUUGUUAAAAUUUAAAGAUCCUUUAUAAAGAUUAUAAGUUUAAGUUACUUUAGGGAUAACAGCGUUAUUUUUUUUUGAGAGUUCUUAUCGAAAAGAAAGUUUGCGACCUCGAUGUUGAAUUAAAAUAUCUUUAUGGUGUAGCUGCUAUAGAAAGAAAGUCUGUUCGACUUUUAAAUUUUU
RNAcentral lists this ribosomal RNA (518 nucleotides) under Munida intermedia. Its description in RNAcentral is "partial large subunit ribosomal RNA". It matches the Rfam family "Bacterial large subunit ribosomal RNA", at positions 1829 to 2597 of the family's 2925-position model. Lineage: Eukaryota; Metazoa; Arthropoda; Malacostraca; Decapoda; Munididae. The record is from RNAcentral.